UACGUAGGGUGCGAGCGUUAAUCGGAAUUACUGGGCGUAAAGCGUGCGCAGGCGGCUCGUGAUGUCUGAUGUGAAAGCCCCGGGCUCAACCUGGGAAUUGCAUUGGAAACUAGCGGGCUGGAGUGUGGCAGAGGGGGGUGGAAUUCCACGUGUAGCAGUGAAAUGCGCAGAUAUCGGGAGGAACACCUAUGGCGAAGGCAGCUCGCUGGGACGUUACUGACGCUGAGACGCGAAAGCGUGGGGAGCAAACAGG
This 253-nucleotide ribosomal RNA is filed under the name uncultured bacterium. RNAcentral's name for it is "partial 16S ribosomal RNA". It matches the Rfam family "Bacterial small subunit ribosomal RNA", at positions 524 to 776 of the family's 1533-position model. The record is from RNAcentral.